CUCGUUUCUCGUUUUUUAUGUAGAUUAGACCAUUGGUUUUCCCGUUUGAAUAGUUUUACUCUAGUCAUUUGUUGACCCUUUAUAGCUUGCUGUUCGGUGUAUGUUAAGACUCCGUGUUGAAUAUCGUUAAUUAUUGGUGAGUUAUCUCAUUGGCAUUCAUACCACAUACAUUAUAUCUAUUUCAAUGCAAAGGCAUGCAAAAUGAAAAUAACACUAUAUGACAUUAUGCGUCAUAAUCGUAUCUCUAGACCCACUACAUCAAAGAGCACCCAAA
RNAcentral lists this long non-coding RNA (274 nucleotides) under Mytilus galloprovincialis (Mediterranean mussel). Lineage: Eukaryota; Metazoa; Mollusca; Bivalvia; Mytilida; Mytilidae. The record is from RNAcentral.